UUCGCGACCGCCAUUGUGCUCAAGUCGUCAGAACCAAGGCCUUCUGUCAGAGAACCGAGCAAGCGUCCCAGUCCUCGAAGGUGUGGACUGACUUGGGAAUGAUCAUGGGGCUCGAGGAGGACGUGAAGGAGCAUGUCCUGCACAAAAUCAGACAUACCGCGAAGAAGUACUCGUAUGCCCAGACGACGAUAAACGUGGAGUCGGCCGACAAAGACGACGACGAGCUGCUAGCUCUACUUGCCUAUGGUUGUGGAACAACCAUUGGCACCUUGGCGGAUCCGAGAAACGGGGUUCGUCAGGCAGGUGAGGAACUAUCGGUGGACGGUGUGGUGGUCUGCCAACUGCCGGCCACCAGGUUGGAGACCGUGGCCCUAAUGACGGCCGCCCACGCUGUCUUCUACACAAAGUUCACGGGGCCCUGCAGGGCCCUGUUCGAGAUUCUUUACCGGAGUGUGGGAUUCGAUGUAAAAAAGUAAACCUAUCUGAC
Molecule: long non-coding RNA, 487 nt
Filed under: Amphibalanus amphitrite
Lineage: Eukaryota; Metazoa; Arthropoda; Thecostraca; Balanomorpha; Balanidae
Description: uncharacterized LOC122389470
Source: RNAcentral